UACGUAGGUGGCAAGCGUUGUCCGGAAUUAUUGGGCGUAAAGGGCGCGUAGGCGGUUGGUUAAGUCAGCUGUGAAAGCCCGGGGCUCAACCCCGGAGGGUCGGCUGAUACUGAUUGACUAGAGUACGGAAGAGGUAGCUGGAAUUCCCGGUGUAGCGGUGAAAUGCGUAGAUAUCGGGAGGAACCCCUGAGGCGAAGUCGGGCUACUGGGACGAUACUUACGCUGAUGCGCGAAAGCCAGGGGAGCGAACGGG
RNAcentral lists this ribosomal RNA (253 nucleotides) under uncultured bacterium. Its description in RNAcentral is "partial 16S ribosomal RNA". It matches the Rfam family "Bacterial small subunit ribosomal RNA", at positions 524 to 776 of the family's 1533-position model. The record is from RNAcentral.